RNAcentral lists this long non-coding RNA (679 nucleotides) under Trifolium pratense (red clover). Its description in RNAcentral is "long non-coding RNA (TPRA_LNC014426)". The record is from RNAcentral. Lineage: Eukaryota; Viridiplantae; Streptophyta; Magnoliopsida; Fabales; Fabaceae.
AAGCACAAGCCUUCACCAACUCCAUACUACUACAAAUCACCUCCACCUCCCUCACCGGUUUACAAGUACAAAUCGCCACCUCCACCGGUCCAUUACUAUUCACCUCCAUAUUACUACAAGUCACCUCCACCUCCCUCACCAGUUUACAAGUACAAUUCCCCACCUCCACCAGUCCACCAUUAUGAUCCUCCAUAUUACUACAAGUCACCUCCACCUCCCUCACCAGUUUACAAGUACAACUCCCCACCUCCACCAGUCCACCAUUACGAUCCUCCAUAUUACUACAAGUCACCUCCACCUCCCUCACCGGUUUACAAGUACAACUCCCCACCUCCACCAGUCCAUUAUUAUUCACCUCCAUAUUACUACAAAUCACCCCCUACUCCUGUGAAAUCGCCACCACCUCCAUACUACUAUAAAUCACCGCCUCCUCCCUCACCAGUUUAUAAGUAUAGCUCACCACCUCCACCAGUCCACCAUUAUGAUCCUCCAUAUAACUACAAGUCACCUCCACCGCCUUCACCUGUUUACAAGUACAACUCCCCACCUCCACCAGUCCAUUAUUAUUCACCUCCAUAUUACUACAAAUCACCCCCUCCUCCUGUGAAAUCGCCACCACCUCCUUACUACUAUAAAUCACCUCCUCCUCCCUCACCGGUUUACAAAUACAACUCACCAC